GAUCAUGGCUCAGGAUGAACGCUAGCGGCAGGCUUAAUACAUGCAAGUCGUGGGGCAGCAGGUUUGUAGCAAUACAGAUGCUGGCGACCGGCAAACGGGUGCGGAACACGUACAGAACCUUCCUUUGAGCGGGGAAUAGCCCAGAGAAAUUUGGAUUAAUACCCCAUAGUAUAAUGAAGUGGCAUCACUUUAUUAUUAAAGAUUUAUCACUCGAAGAUGGCUGUGCGGCUGAUUAGGUAGUUGGCGGGGUAAAGGCCCACCAAGCCUGCGAUCAGUAACUGGUGUGAGAGCACGACCAGUCACACGGGCACUGAGACACGGGCCCGACUCCUACGGGAGGCAACAGUAAGGAAUAUUGGUCAAUGGAGGCAACUCUGAACCAGCCAUGCCGCGUGGAGGAUGAAGGUCCUCUGGAUUGUAAACUUCUUUUAUAUGGGAUGAAAAAAGGCUUUUCUAAGUCGUCUGACGGUACCAUAUGAAUAAGCACCGGCUAACUCCGUG
This 501-nucleotide ribosomal RNA is filed under the name uncultured bacterium. RNAcentral's name for it is "bacterial SSU rRNA". It matches the Rfam family "Bacterial small subunit ribosomal RNA", at positions 15 to 507 of the family's 1533-position model. The record is from RNAcentral.